GUUCUCUUACCCUGCCUUACCUGAAGGGGAUGUAUACAUGCCGGGUUGCUCCCCAGCCAUCUACUCGGGGAUACCCAGCACACUUACAAUGAAAGUACACACAGCCCCCCGCAGCAAAGCACAAACAGGUGUUGCAAACAGCCCCAAUCACACCCCUACUGAGAGCCAGACUAUACGCCAACCCAUUUCUCCACCGGAAGGGUUCACAAGCCCCAGCAAAGUCUGAACCGAAGCAAACGAGAACGCCUCUGAAAGCUUUUCCCCAGCCUGGCGGGACCCAGCACCACGCGCACCCAAGAACUGGAGCUGCCACCCGGUUCCUCACCGCAGCGCGAGCCCCAGCCGGCAGAGCGCUGCCCCGCGCGCUGCGCACCGCCUGGCCCCGGCGCACUCGCGCCCGCAGCCGCUCCGCGAACAGCGCGCAGCACGGGCCCUCCACCAUGGAGCCGCCUCUUCCCUUCAAAUCUCCCGCUCGCUGUGGGGUGGAGCUGCCGGGCUGCCCUGGUGAGCGCCGAGGGAGAACGCGGCUGCGCUAGGGAUGAAUGUCCCGGCGUACCCCUAAAGGGCUCCGAGGGGCGGACCGGGCGCGGCACGUCACCGCGUUGUUUGCACUCGCAGCGCCGCCCCGCUUGGCACGCGGUGUGGUUUGAAUCUGGAGCCGUUUUCACGGCUGGGAGCAAAAGCCGUAUGAACGUUAAGCCAAAGGCUUUGUUCUGCGAGACCCUUCAGACAAAACACGUGUGA
This 744-nucleotide long non-coding RNA is filed under the name Phasianus colchicus (ring-necked pheasant). RNAcentral describes it as "lncRNA (ENSPCLG00000017045.1)". Lineage: Eukaryota; Metazoa; Chordata; Aves; Galliformes; Phasianidae. The record is from RNAcentral.